GUACUGCAGUCUGUAUGGCGGCCACUCUCAUGAUAUCAUAGAUGACGUCAACAGUGCUAAGAUGGAAUGCUCAUCUGCCUAAGAAGCAACAAGAGAAAAUACUUCAACAAAAGAUCAUCUGAUGGCCAAAAACACUCUCUCUCAACGCCCUCCAGCUGCUGUGUUUGCUUCAGUGAUACAGCAAAACAGAUGUGCAUCAUUCUCUGGGACGGUUCCUGUAAGCCACUGCACCAAUAGGCACAUGCUGUCCCUCUUCGACUGUUGCCAGAGAAAGACGGCCCCUGCUUCUCUCUGAGAUGUACCCAUUUGCUCUGCUCAUUCAUCUUGACUGCUCACGGCGGAAGGAUAGCCACAUGCUGCUUUCACAUCAGUACGGAACGGAAUUUCUGCUUUGCGUAGCAAAUCGCAUGGCGCCACGCAGCUCUGCAGCCAGGACUAUCGUAAGGAGGGCAGCAAAGACGGUGGAAUACAUCCUUUGAAAAAAAGGAAUGAUUCAUGACUGCUAGGUGUGCCCGCCUUUCACCCCUCCACACAGGCCACAGCUAAAGCCCCAGGGAGCUCGGGGUUUCCACGUCCUCUGGUUCAAAACACCUUAGCUUUGCUGUUACUACCGUUUCUGUAUAAUAGUCCUCAGCGUUUCACUUACGAGACAAUCCCAUGCCAAACCAUCUUGUCUAGGAAGACAAGUUUUGCUUUCAAGUCUGAUGCUUACUGAAAGUGAGCAAGACAGGUUGGAAGCUCGCUCCUCUAAGUCUCCUUUCC
Non-coding RNA from Peromyscus maniculatus bairdii (prairie deer mouse), 762 nucleotides. NCBI's taxonomy places the organism in Eukaryota, Metazoa, Chordata, Mammalia, Rodentia, Cricetidae. The record is from RefSeq and is a predicted model, not a curated record.